RNAcentral lists this transfer RNA (143 nucleotides) under Aureobasidium pullulans. Its description in RNAcentral is "tRNA-Gly". It matches the Rfam family "tRNA". Rfam says of the family: Transfer RNA (tRNA) molecules are approximately 80 nucleotides in length. Their secondary structure includes four short double-helical elements and three loops (D, anti-codon, and T loops). Further hydrogen bonds mediate the characteristic L-shaped molecular structure. tRNAs have two regions of fundamental functional importance: the anti-codon, which is responsible for specific mRNA codon recognition, and the 3' end, to which the tRNAs corresponding amino acid is attached (by aminoacyl-tRNA synthetases). tRNAs cope with the degeneracy of the genetic code in two manners: having more than one tRNA (with a specific anti-codon) for a particular amino acid; and 'wobble' base-pairing, i.e. permitting non-standard base-pairing at the 3rd anti-codon position. Lineage: Eukaryota; Fungi; Ascomycota; Dothideomycetes; Dothideales; Saccotheciaceae. The record is from RNAcentral. RNAcentral also lists the same sequence under 1 other name.
GCAGCGAUGGUCUAGUGGUCAAGACGUCUCACUCCCAUGGCCUUGUAAACACAAACGUUCAUGAUUCUGUAUCGGCGGGUUUCCCGUGGUACUAAGGGAAUCAUGGAAUGAGAAGAUCGUGAGUCCGAAUCUCGCUCGCUGCA